Non-coding RNA from Misgurnus anguillicaudatus (oriental weatherfish), 76 nucleotides. The record is from the annotation of a RefSeq genome assembly. NCBI's taxonomy places the organism in Eukaryota, Metazoa, Chordata, Actinopteri, Cypriniformes, Cobitidae.
GUGUUCCUCUAGCGCAGUUGGUAGCGCAUUGCAUUAGCAAUGCAAAAGGCCUUGGGUUCGAUUCCCAGGGAACAUA